This 442-nucleotide ribosomal RNA is filed under the name uncultured bacterium. RNAcentral describes it as "partial 16S ribosomal RNA". It matches the Rfam family "Bacterial small subunit ribosomal RNA", at positions 338 to 795 of the family's 1533-position model. The record is from RNAcentral.
CCUACGGGUGGCAGCAGUGGGGGAUAUUGCACAAUGGGGGGAACCCUGAUGCAGCGACGCCGCGUGAAGGAAGAAGGCUUUCGGGUUGUAAACUUCUUUUAUGAGGGAAGAGCAGAAGACGGUACCUCUUGUAUAAGCUACGGCUAACUACGUGCCAGCAGCCGCGGUAAUACGUAGGGGGCAAGCGUUGUCCGGAUUUACUGGGUGUAAAGCGCUCGUAGGCGGUAUGUCAAGUCAAGGGUGAAAUCCCCGCGGUCAACGUGGGAACUGCCUUUGAAACUGGCAAACUGGAGUGUGUGAGAGGAGAGUGGAAUUCCAGGUGUAGGGGUGAAAUCCGUAGAUAUCUGGAGGAACAUCAGUGGCGAAGGCGACUAUCUGGCACAUAACUGACGCUGAGGAGCGAAAGCGUGGGUAGCAAACAGGAUUAGAUACCCGAGUAGUC